Molecule: long non-coding RNA, 202 nt
Filed under: Elaeis guineensis (African oil palm)
Lineage: Eukaryota; Viridiplantae; Streptophyta; Magnoliopsida; Arecales; Arecaceae
Description: long non-coding RNA (EGUI_LNC063828)
Source: RNAcentral
AUAUAUCUUUGCUGUGAGUAUCAUGAGCAAAUAUCGAUUGAAUCUAGGCUAAGAGCACUAGACAACUAUGAAAAACAUCCUUGAGAAGGACUUAGAUAUGUUCAUAGUCUUUAAAGAAGAAAGUUGAGGGUAUAAGGAUUCACAGAUUCAGACUUUAUGUCUGAGAUUGAUAGUACAGAAUCUAUAUUAAGGUGUGUUUCCU